This 451-nucleotide ribosomal RNA is filed under the name uncultured bacterium. RNAcentral describes it as "bacterial SSU rRNA". It matches the Rfam family "Bacterial small subunit ribosomal RNA", at positions 28 to 507 of the family's 1533-position model. The record is from RNAcentral.
GAUGAACGCUGGCGGAAUGCCUAAUACAUGCAAGUCGAGCGGCAGCGCGAGUAGUUUACUACUUGGCGGCGAGCGGCGGACGGCUGAGUAACGCGUGGGAACGUACCCCAAAGUGAGGGAUAAGCUCGAGAAAUCGAGUCUAAUACCGCAUAUGAUCUUCGGAUUAAAGGAUUUAUCCGCUUUGGGAGCGGCCCGCGUACGAUUAGAUAGUUGGUGAGGUAAAGGCUCACCAAGUCAACGAUCGUUAACUGGUCUGAGAGGACGACCAGUCAGACCGGAACUGGGACACGGUCCAAACUCCUACGGGAGGCAGCAGUAAGGAAUCUUCCACAAUGGACGAAAGUCUGAUGGAGCAAUUCCGCGUGCAGGAUGAAGGCCCUCGGGUUGUAAACUGCUUUUAUUUGUGAAGAAUAUGACGGUAACAAAUGAAUAAGGGUCGGCUAACUACGUG